RNAcentral lists this ribozyme (93 nucleotides) under unclassified sequences. Its description in RNAcentral is "pistol ribozyme". The stretch from base 1 to 58 matches the Rfam family "Pistol ribozyme". The record is from RNAcentral.
AGUCGUCUGAGCGACUAUAAAUAGUAUUUAAGCUCAGAGCGUUAAGGGGCUAGAGUAAGGAGUGGAUGCCAAGCUCUAGUCCCUUAGGUAUGC